This is a long non-coding RNA of Oncorhynchus tshawytscha (Chinook salmon), 1258 nucleotides long. Lineage: Eukaryota; Metazoa; Chordata; Actinopteri; Salmoniformes; Salmonidae. The record is from Ensembl.
GUAAUUUGCCUGAUGACCCACGAGUGGAGGAGCUUCUCAUUUCAUACAAGCGCAUUUUCGUCCACGUUGAGCUGUCCGAUCAGGUCCAUUGUCUACUUGUGGAAUUGUGACUCUCCUUGCCGCCGCAACUCGAUUAAAUUGGACCCUUUUCAAAAGGAGGCGAGAGAGGACGCAAAACUUGAGCAAAUGGAACCAUGAAGAGGAGCUUGGAGUGGGCAAGGGGGAGGCUGAUGAAGCAGCAGAGGAGACCUGAUUCAAGUAUCAAUUAAUUCUGGGGAUUCUUACCUGGUUGGCCAUGCAUGGCACAACACAAGACACUUCAAUCUGACACUCUUUUUAAUGUUUGACGUCAGGCAAAAUGUCUUCAGCCACUGUAGGACGGAGAGCCGCUGUUUGGCAUCGGACUGUGGGUGUCUGUGGGUGUACCAGGAAAUGACGUUAGAAGUUAGGGCCCUAUGAUAUCGAAGCUUCUUACCAUUUCAACUGCAGCACAGUCGAUAUCGAUUUAAAAAAAAAACUGGAACAAUAGAUUGUGUAGCACAAUGUACAACUCCAGUUUGCCUAUUGUCCCAACAAAUGUCAAUUAUACAUUUUUACAUACGUCAGAGCAUUUUAUAGCUCUGCUUUCAACGCCAUCCUGACCCACAAACUGGUUAGCAGACUCAGGGCUCUGGGUGUAAAUCCUGUAACAACAAAUUUAGAUUUUUUUUUACAUUAUCAUAAGAAUUUGUACAUGAGUACAUGAAGGAGCUGUGGGACCUGACAUAAUGGUGAUACGUCAACAGUUUCAUCGUAAACAAAGUAGAUGGUGAUACUUGACCAUUCUCCCAUCUACUGUACAUUGACAUGGAGAUGAUCAGCAGCUUCAAGUUCCUGGGCACCCUGAUAUCCUUUUCUGCCCUCAGUUACUUCACUCAAAGUCCCUCUUGUGCUUCUCCACUACCCUUAAACUUGCUGCACCACGACCUAUGUACCAACUACAGUGUUGUUUAUUGCCAUUGCACCUGUAAAUGAAAUGUCCAUAUUUAUUGUAAGAUUUAUUUAUGGUAACAUUGCACAUAUUGUAACAUAGUCCCUUGACAUACAUGACUUAACUACUUUGCAUAAUGCUCAGUUUACCCACUCUAAUAAAUCAUACAUGUAUUAAAAUAUUAAAGCUGCAUUAUGUAUUACUGUGUCCAAUUGAUUCUGGUUGGUUGUAAAUGUUUUUCAAAACUUUCACUACACAAAUUUUUUUUUUUGCUGAUGAACAAUCCUG